This 497-nucleotide ribosomal RNA is filed under the name uncultured bacterium. RNAcentral's name for it is "partial 16S ribosomal RNA". It matches the Rfam family "Bacterial small subunit ribosomal RNA", at positions 28 to 507 of the family's 1533-position model. The record is from RNAcentral.
GAUGAACGCUGGCGGCGUGCCUAAUACAUGCAAGUCGAGCGAACGGACGAGAAGCUUGCUUCUCUGAUGUUAGCGGCGGACGGGUGAGUAACACGUGGAUAACCUACCUAUAAGACUGGGAUAACUUCGGGAAACCGGAGCUAAUACCGGAUAAUAUUUUGAACCUCAUGGUUCAAAAGUGAAAGACGGUCUUGCUGUCACUUAUAGAUGGAUCCGCGCUUCAUUAGCUAGUUGGUAAGGUAACGGCUUACCAAGGCAACGAUGCAUAGCCGACCUGAGAGGGUGAUCGGCCACACUGGAACUGAGACACGGUCCAGACUCCUACGGGAGGCAGCAGUAGGGAAUCUUCCGCAAUGGGCGAAAGCCUGACGGAGCAACGCCGCGUGAGUGAUGAAGGUCUUCGGAUCGUAAAACUCUGUUAUUAGGGAAGAACAUAUGUGUAAGUAACUGUGCACAUCUUGACGGUACCUAAUCAGAAAGCCACGGCUAACUACGUG